This 1377-nucleotide ribosomal RNA is filed under the name uncultured bacterium. RNAcentral's name for it is "bacterial SSU rRNA". It matches the Rfam family "Bacterial small subunit ribosomal RNA". The record is from RNAcentral.
AGAGUUUGAUCCUGGCUCAGAGUGAACGCUGGCGGCGUGCCUAAUACAUGCAAGUCGAACGGACAAGUAAGAGCUUGCUCUUAUGAGUUAGUGGCGCACGGGUGAGUAAUGUAUAGUUAAUCUGCCCUACACUGGAGGACAACAGUUAGAAAUGACUGCUAAUACUCCAUACUCCUUCUUAACACAAGUUAAGUCGGGAAAGUUUUUUCGGUGUAGGAUGAGACUAUAUUGUAUCAGCUAGUUGGUGAGGUAAUGGCUCACCAAGGCUAUGACGCAUAGCUGGUCUGAGAGGAUGAUCAGUCACACUGGAACUGAGACACGGCCCAGACUCCUACGGGAGGCAGCAGUAGGGAAUAUUGCUCAAUGGGGGAAACCCUGAAGCAGCAACGCCGCGUGGAGGAUGACACUUUUCGGAGCGUAAACUCCUUUUGUUAGGGAAGAACAAUGACGGUACCUAACGAAUAAGCACCGGCUAACUCCGUGCCAGCAGCCGCGGUAAUACGGAGGGUGCAAGCGUUACUCGGAACCACUGGGCGUAAAGGACGCGUAGGCGGAUUAUCAAGUCUUUUGUGAAAUCUAAUGGCUCAACCAUUAAACUGCUUGAGAAACUGAUAAUCUAGAGUGAGGGAGAGGCAGAUGGAAUUGGUGGUGUAGGGGUAAAAUCCGUAGAGAUCACCAGGAAUACCCAUUGCGAAGGCGAUCUGCUGGAACUUAACUGACGCUAAUGCGUGAAAGCGUGGGGAGCAAACAGGAUUAGAUACCCUGGUAGUCCACGCCCUAAACGAUGUAUACUAGUUGUUGCUGUGCUAGUCAUGGCAGUAAUGCACCUAACGGAUUAAGUAUACCGCCUGGGGAGUACGGUCGCAAGAUUAAAACUCAAAGGAAUAGACGGGGACCCGCACAAGCGGUGGAGCAUGUGGUUUAAUUCGAAGAUACGCGAAGAACCUUACCUGGGCUUGAUAUCCUAAGAACCUUGUAGAGAUACGAGGGUGCUAGCUUGCUAGAACUUAGUGACAGGUGCUGCACGGCUGUCGUCAGCUCGUGUCGUGAGAUGUUCGGUUAAGUCCGGCAACGAGCGCAACCCACGUAUUUAGUUGCUAACAGUUCGGCUGAGCACUCUAAAUAUACUGCCUUCGUAAGGAGGAGGAAGGUGUGGACGACGUCAAGUCAUCAUGGCCCUUAUGCCCAGGGCGACACACGUGCUACAAUGGCAUAUACAAUGAGACGCAAUAUCGCGAGAUGGAGCAAAUCUAUAAAAUAUGUCCCAGUUCGGAUUGUUCUCUGCAACUCGAGAGCAUGAAGCCGGAAUCGCUAGUAAUCGUAGAUCAGCCAUGCUACGGUGAAUACGUUCCCGGGUCUUGCACACACCGCCCGUCA